CGUCAAUCAUCAUGCCCCUUAUGUUCUGGGCUACACACGUGCUACAAUGGCCGGUACAGACGGACGCAAAGCCGCGAGGUGGAGCAAAUCCGAAAAAGCCGGUCUCAGUUCGGAUUGCAGGCUGCAAUUCGCCUGCAUGAAGUCGGAAUCGCUAGUAAUCGCAGGUCAGCAUACUGCGGUGAAUACGUUCCCGGGCCUU
This 199-nucleotide ribosomal RNA is filed under the name uncultured Desulfosporosinus sp. RNAcentral's name for it is "partial 16S ribosomal RNA". It matches the Rfam family "Bacterial small subunit ribosomal RNA", at positions 1183 to 1382 of the family's 1533-position model. The record is from RNAcentral. Lineage: Bacteria; Bacillati; Bacillota; Clostridia; Eubacteriales; Desulfitobacteriaceae.